This is a long non-coding RNA of Carya illinoinensis, 2126 nucleotides long. RefSeq lists it as uncharacterized. The transcript is spliced from 8 exons. NCBI's taxonomy places the organism in Eukaryota, Viridiplantae, Streptophyta, Magnoliopsida, Fagales, Juglandaceae. The record is from RefSeq and is a predicted model, not a curated record.
UCCGUGAAGUGUUCUGUGGUAGGUAUCUCGGAUAUUAUAGUUGUAGGAUUGCCCAUAAGGAAACUUAAGAGGUUAAAACUGGUUCUUCGGAGUUGGAACAAGGAAGUUUUUGGGCAUGUUGAUAACCAUAUUUGAGAGCUUGAGGGAAAAGUUUAAUUAUUAGAAGAGUUUCUUCAACAAAAUUUCUCUUACGAAGUGGAUGCUGAUUUGACAGUGGCUAGGAAUGAUCUUGAGUUGUGGGCUCAUCGAGAAGAGAUGAGGUUAGCACAACAAGCAAAAAAAAGGUGGCUUGAGGAGGGAGACCAAAACUCUAAGUUUUUCCAUGCAGUUAUUGCUCAACGGAGGAAUCAGGUUUGUGUAAGCAUAUGAGACUACCAGAUGGGUCUACACUUGACUCUCCUGAGAUGGUAAAUGAAGGUGCGACAACCUAUUUUGAACAGUUUUUGACUAUUGAUGUGGAGGUGGAGGAACCUGCGUUGGAAGAUAUUAUUUAGCCAGUGUUGUCUCUACAGGAUAUUGAAGGGCUGUCUUCUCUUCCCAUGGAGCAAGAGGCAAAAAGCUUGAGAUUUGUCUAUAACAGAUAGCUAAAAGGCACAACAUUUUCGCAUUAAUUUCUAUUUAAGAAACUUGUUGCGCCUCUGGUCUGUCCAAAAAUCACACAAGACGAUAUUUAAGUGGUUCAGCAAAUUGCCUACAUCCACUAGAGCCAAAAUUCAUCGAGUUUGUAUGAGAUUACAAACACUCAACAAUUUCUCUCUCACGUCCACUUUCUCUCUGUUUUGCCCACUUCAUUUUACACAAAUGAGUUCUCUUUUUAUAGGAGAAGUUUCAAAGGACAAGCACUUACAAUUGUUGACCAAGAGAAUCGGUGCAACAAUUUAUGGUCCUAAAUUGUUACCAGAGAAUUGGGUGUCCUAAUAUGACAAAAGACUUUCGGUGGCUACACAGAGGACAAGGCUGCUUACAAACUGAUUCAUUUUUCAAAUGAAUGCACCUCAUUCUUUGACAUGAAAGACUUCCGCUAUCGAAUGGGCUCCAAUGCACUCGACGGUGCUCAACAGUGUACAAUAUUGAUCAAGUCCAAACAAUACCUGUAACAAACUUCGAUGAGGUUACCUUCCAUUUUAUUGACUGCACACAUAACUACUUGCAGUCCAAAUCACAGCUGGAAGGAGUUACCCCAACCCAGACGCAGCUAGUGGAGACAUCUCUCAGUCCUUCAGUGAAGAGUGCAUCAAGUGAAUAUCUGACAGCCCCAUCUAGUCAAUUCUUUGGGCCAUCCAGCAUUGAUGGGGGGGGGGGGUCAAGAGCUGUGAUCAAUUGGUCCUUGACUAUUUGCAGCAACCUGCAAGCAUUGGAUAGGAAAAGGGGUACAUUGGGAUGAGCUUUCACAGCAACUAAAAAUUCCUGUGGAGAAGAUCAUGGAAUCUAUUAGGUCUCUUGAAGAGGAGGGUUUGAUAUACUCCACCAUCGACGAGUUUCACUACAAGUCAACUCAGUGACGUGGAUACUCAGAUUAAAAUGAGCUAAAAUAUUAGUCUUCUCUCUCUCUUUUUCUCUCUGAAAAAGAGGAGGUGAAUGUGUGUGAGUGUGAGUGAGGCGUAAGGGGUCAGAUGGUGGUUAUAACAGUAAGGAGAGAGGAAGAUUCUGCAUAAGGGUAGAAGGGUGAGCUUUCAUGGUGGUUGGCAGAUGUGAACGGGGGUGGUUACAAAGCAGGAGUAGGGACAAAUGAAGGAACUAGAGGAAAAGUGGAGGAGGCUUCGACUAACGGAAGGGGAGGCAUCUGAUAUUAUAUUUGAGGAAGAUGAAGAAUUGAAAUACAAGGAAGGGAGAAGCAUAGUGGGGAAGGUCUGUUCGCAGAGAAUUAUCAGCAAGGAGGUGUUGAGCUCAACCUUGGCUAAAGUGUGGAGAGUUAGCUAGGCAGCACAAUUUUUGGAGGUAUGUCCAAACACUUGUAAUAGCCCCCCCCCCAAAAAAAAAAAAAAAAAAAAAAGAAGCCCAGCCCAUGCGUAAUGGCCCAACCUCCCCAACCCUUAUUCCUUCCUUUUCUCCCCCUUCCCGUAGCUUCUCAAAUCUUCCUACAAUUAUCUUCCCCCUAUCUCAUCACCUUGUAUGUCCCCCUUAUC